This 374-nucleotide ribosomal RNA is filed under the name uncultured Glomeromycotina. RNAcentral's name for it is "LSU rRNA". The record is from RNAcentral. Lineage: Eukaryota; Fungi; Glomeromycota.
UUGAAAGGGAAACGAUUGAAGCCAGUCGUACCUUCGGGUAAUCAGCCUUUCGGGUGCGAUUCUGUGAGGUGUGAGGAGUUAAACGCCUUCAUGUUUUGCAUAAUUCGUGCUCUUGGGUGUACUUGCCCGUGUGGUUGGUUAACAUCAAUUUUGGACGCCAUAAAAUGACUGGAGGAGUGUAGCUUCGAUCUCGUAUUGAAGUGUUAUAGCCUUCGGUAGAUGUGGUUUUCGAGAUUGAGGAUUGCAACGGAUACCCUUCGGGGCUACCUAUCUGAUCUCUUGUUGACGUUCAGAUGGCGACAGCUUGCUGACGUUGUUUGAAUAGUUGGCGAAUAGAUUGGAAUGUGAAUUAAUUCGUUAAGGAUGUUGACGUA